AAAAGACUUAGUCCUAACCUUAUUAUUGGUUACUGCUAGACAUAUACAUGCAAGCAUCCGCACUCCAGUGAAAAUGCCCUCAAACCCUUCCCUCACCCUCAAGGCAAAAGGAGCAGGUAUCAGGCACACCCAAGCAGUAGCCCAAGACGCCUUGCCCAGCCACACCCCCACGGGUAUUCAGCAGUAAUUAACAUUAAGCAAUAAGUGCAAACUUGACUUAGCCAUAGCAAUUCACAGGGUUGGUAAAUCUUGUGCCAGCCACCGCGGUCAUACAAGAAACCCGAAUCAAUAAUCAUCGGCGUAAAGAGUGACUAUACGUUAUCAUCAUUAACUAAGAUCAAAAUGUAACUAAGCUGUCAUAAGCCUAAGAUCCACCAAAGCUCAACCUGACAUCUUAGAUUCAACGAUUAACUUUAACCCACGAAAGCUAGGACACAAACUGGGAUUAGAUACCCCACUAUGCCUAGCCCUAAAUCCAGAUACCCACCCACACUAAAGUAUCCGCCCGAGAACUACGAGCACAAACGCUUAAAACUCUAAGGACUUGGCGGUGCCCCAAACCCACCUAGAGGAGCCUGUUCUAUAACCGAUAACCCACGAUCCACCCAACCACCCCUUGCCAACACAGCCUACAUACCGCCGUCGCCAGCCCACCUCCCAUGAGAGAAUAACAGUGCGCUCAAUAGUCCCCCCCCACUAACAAGACAGGUCAAGGUAUAGCCUAUGGGGUGGUAGAAAUGGGCUACAUUCUCUACUAUAGAGCAUCAACGAAAAAGGACAUGAAAACCCGUCCUUGGAAGGAGGAUUUAGCAGUAAAGUAGGAUCAUUUCCAGCCUACUUUAAGCUGGCUCUGGGGCACGUACAUACCGCCCGUCACCCUCUUCACAAGCCACUACUAUCUAUAAAUAAUAAGCCCACCCACCAAGGCCAAAGACGAGGUAAGUCGUAACAAGGUAAGUGUACCGGAAGGUGCAGGUUAGACUAC
Molecule: non-coding RNA, 985 nt
Filed under: Odontophorus erythrops (rufous-fronted wood quail)
Lineage: Eukaryota; Metazoa; Chordata; Aves; Galliformes; Odontophoridae
Description: partial 12S ribosomal RNA
Rfam family: Bacterial small subunit ribosomal RNA
Source: RNAcentral